This 27-nucleotide non-coding RNA is filed under the name Cricetulus griseus (Chinese hamster). The record is from RNAcentral. Lineage: Eukaryota; Metazoa; Chordata; Mammalia; Rodentia; Cricetidae.
CCAGUUAGAAUUCACAUUCAAGCAGCA